This 467-nucleotide ribosomal RNA is filed under the name uncultured bacterium. RNAcentral describes it as "partial 16S ribosomal RNA". It matches the Rfam family "Bacterial small subunit ribosomal RNA", at positions 28 to 507 of the family's 1533-position model. The record is from RNAcentral.
GACGAACGCUGGCGGCGUGCCUAACACAUGCAAGUCGAACGGAAAGGCCUCUUUCGGGGGGUACUCGCGUGGCGAACGGGCGAGUAACACGUGAGUAACCUGCCCUUGUCUUUGGGAUAACUUCAGGCAACUGGGGCUAAUACCGGAUAGGAGCUCCUGCUGCAUGGUGGGGGUUGGAAAGUUUCGGCGGUUGGGGAUGGACUCGCGGCGUAUCAGCUUGUUGGUGGGGUAGUGGCUUACCAAGGCCUUGACGGGUAGCCGGCCAGAGAGGGUGACCGGCGACAUUGGGACUGAGAGACGGCACAGACUCCUACGGGAGGCAGCAGUGGGGAAUAUUGCACGAUGGGUGCAAGCCUGAUGCAGCAGCGCCGUGUGCGGGAUGACGGCCUUCGGGUUGUAAACCGCUUUCGCUCAUGACGAAGCUUUGUGUGACGGUAGUGGGUAAAGAAGCACCGGCUAACUACGUG